RNAcentral lists this ribosomal RNA (538 nucleotides) under uncultured bacterium. RNAcentral describes it as "partial 16S ribosomal RNA". It matches the Rfam family "Bacterial small subunit ribosomal RNA", at positions 355 to 883 of the family's 1533-position model. The record is from RNAcentral.
UGGGGGAUUUUGGACAAUGGGCGAAAGCCUGAUCCAGCAAUGCCGCGUGAGUGAAGAAGGCCUUCGGGUUGUAAAGCUCUUUUGUCAGGGAAGAAACGGUGAAAGCUAAUAUCUUUUGCUAAUGACGGUACCUGAAGAAUAAGCACCGGCUAACUACGUGCCAGCAGCCGCGGUAAUACGUAGGGUGCAAGCGUUAAUCGGAGUUACUGGGCGUAAAGCGUGCGCAGGCGGUUUUUGUAAGUCUGAUGUGAAAUCCCCGGGCUCAACCUGGGAAUUGCAUUGGAGACUGCAAGGCUAGAAUCUGGCAGAGGGGGGUAGAAUUCCACGUGUAGCAGUGAAAUGCGUGAUAUGUGGAGGAACACCGAUGGCGAAGGCAGCCCCCCUGGGUCAAGGAUUGACGCUCAUGCACGAAAGCGUGGGGAGCAAACAGGAUUAGAUACCCUGGUAGUCCACGCCCUAAACGAUGUCUACUAGUUGUCGGGUCUUAAUUGACUUGGUAACGCAGCUAACGCGUGAAGUAGACCGCCUGGGGGAGUAC